GUCAGGAUGGCCGAGCGGUCUAAGGCGCCAGACUCAAGGUGUGAAACCUUGUCCGUACACAACGGAUGCAUGGGAAUUCUGGUCCUCUCUGAGGGCGUGGGUUCAAAUCCCACUUCUGACA
RNAcentral lists this transfer RNA (121 nucleotides) under Trialeurodes vaporariorum (greenhouse whitefly). RNAcentral's name for it is "tRNA-Leu for anticodon CAA". It matches the Rfam family "tRNA". From Rfam's summary of the family: Transfer RNA (tRNA) molecules are approximately 80 nucleotides in length. Their secondary structure includes four short double-helical elements and three loops (D, anti-codon, and T loops). Lineage: Eukaryota; Metazoa; Arthropoda; Insecta; Hemiptera; Aleyrodidae. The record is from RNAcentral.